Molecule: non-coding RNA, 46 nt
Organism: Octopus bimaculoides (California two-spot octopus)
Lineage: Eukaryota; Metazoa; Mollusca; Cephalopoda; Octopoda; Octopodidae
Source: Rfam
CAAACGGCCCUUUUAAGGGCCAACAAAGCCAUCCGUAAAGUCUGAC